UGUCCUUCCUCCUUCCUUCCCAGCACAGAGCUGCUGAGAAUACACAAGUGGUGCAUCUGUGCCCAGCUCCACAAUCUUCCCCAAAUCUGAUUUCACAGCCUGAAAAGCUAUUUUACAGAAUGAAGAUAUUGGACCAACUAACAAUGAAGAAAUCUCUUGAAAGGAUU
Molecule: long non-coding RNA, 167 nt
Filed under: Capra hircus (goat)
Lineage: Eukaryota; Metazoa; Chordata; Mammalia; Artiodactyla; Bovidae
Description: lncRNA (ENSCHIG00010006778.1)
Source: RNAcentral